This 74-nucleotide transfer RNA is filed under the name Candidatus Dojkabacteria bacterium. RNAcentral's name for it is "tRNA-Arg". It matches the Rfam family "tRNA". From Rfam's summary of the family: Transfer RNA (tRNA) molecules are approximately 80 nucleotides in length. Their secondary structure includes four short double-helical elements and three loops (D, anti-codon, and T loops). Further hydrogen bonds mediate the characteristic L-shaped molecular structure. tRNAs have two regions of fundamental functional importance: the anti-codon, which is responsible for specific mRNA codon recognition, and the 3' end, to which the tRNAs corresponding amino acid is attached (by aminoacyl-tRNA synthetases). tRNAs cope with the degeneracy of the genetic code in two manners: having more than one tRNA (with a specific anti-codon) for a particular amino acid; and 'wobble' base-pairing, i.e. permitting non-standard base-pairing at the 3rd anti-codon position. The record is from RNAcentral.
GCACCUAUAGCUCAAUUGGAUAGAGCAUUUCUUUGCGGAAGAAAAGGUUCCAGGUUCGAAUCCUGGUAGGUGCG